CUCGGUUGCCUGGUGACGAGGUUGAUCAACCGUGGAAGCCAACAGACCCUGCUGCCCGUUCCUCAUGCUGCACACGUCAGCACGCGUGUCUGAUCGCCCUCGGUCUGGCCGUCUGGGUAGAGGGAGAAACCCGGGGCGACGCUGGCAGAUUUAUCUGAGGAAAACGGACAACCUGCAGGAAGAGGCGGACGAAACAGGCUGGAAAACACAAAAAAUGUUCCAUGGCACAACAUGAUAAAAAUGUGAAUUUUACUUACCUCUUGCUAUCCUUUUACUCUGAUGCUUCAGCAGAAACAGGGAGUCUAGUCUGAGUUAACAAGACAACACACACACACUCAGAUUUAUAAUGAAAUAAUUAGGGUCAAUUCAGAUUCAUGGCCUAGUCAAAGUGCACAUCCAUCAUCCAGUCUGACUGAUCUCAAUUUGUGGGAAACUGUGAAAUCAUUUGACUGUCUUCCAGUUCACAAUUAUGCGCCGCCGUGUCAUUUGUACACAAGCGUUCGUAUGAGCUGUUUUCUACCAGACCAGCAAAUUAUUCUGAGCCACAAGAGUCACAUUUCUCCUCAACCGCCAGACGCCGCUCACCGCCCUCCACCUGCGCGCCGCACCUACCGUUCAGCUGGAAACUCUUCCCAUAUGGCGACCAGUAGGAAAAAGAAACAAGUGAAGGAGAGUUGGAAGCAAACAGAUGUGGCUUUUUCUGACAAAGUAGGACAAUAGGAGUUGUCAGGCAGAACUCGCAGCAGAUGAAAACCAUCAACAGGACCUCACUGGCGAACAAAACCGCGUGCUAACACGACAAACCGAGCCAGCACAUGCCGUUUACAGUGCGGUAUUUUUUGGGUGUUUCCCCGCUCGUCCCCCUGUGUGAAGGACUGGGAGGGACGGAAACAAUAAAGAUACUGUUAAAACGCA
This is a long non-coding RNA of Gambusia affinis (western mosquitofish), 915 nucleotides long. RefSeq lists it as uncharacterized. NCBI's taxonomy places the organism in Eukaryota, Metazoa, Chordata, Actinopteri, Cyprinodontiformes, Poeciliidae. The record is from RefSeq and is a predicted model, not a curated record. The transcript has 3 exons.